UCUUUCAGUUUUCAUUCUCGCGAGCGUAAGUAAAGUGCGCAGUUGUAUGACAAAAACGGAAAUAAUAGAAAUUCUUCAGGUUUACAGCUCUAAAAUUAUUUAAAACGCAAUAAACAUUAAGAUUAAAUGUGAUCGCACAACUGAGUGGUGAAUUCGGUAACAAAUUUUAAGUUUAAAUGGUAGAUUUCGCAUAUUUCUCGUGAGUGACGCCACUUUUCACAUGGCAGCACACUUUGCAAUGCAGGAACCGUUACUUUUCUUUUGUGCGCGUGCUUCGUAAGUGCGCACUUGUUCGAUCUCUGUGUAUUUGUUGUUUUAACAUAACCUUACCUAACAGAACGGUUAAAAGAUAAAUUGUAAAUUUGUAUACACAUGCAUAUGAAACUCCUCGUGUUUUCGGCUUUAAAAUUGUUUAAAACGCAAUAAAGAUUUAUAUUAAAUGUGAUCGCACAAGUGCGUGGUGAAUUCGGUAUCGAAUUUUAAGUUUAAAUGGUAGAUUUCGCAUAUUUUUCGUGAGUGACGCUUCUUUUCACAUGGCAGCAAACUUUGCAAUGCAGGAACCGUUACUUUUCUUUUGUGCGCGUGUUUCGUAAGUGCGCGUGUUUCGAUCUCCGUGGAUUUGUUGUCUUAACCUAAUCUAUCUUAACCUAACGAUAAACUUAUGCAAUUCAACCAUUCUGUGCAGCGGGUCCCUCGGUCCUUUUGGACAUUCAGUGCAGAGGCGCGUUGGCAACCGCCUGCUACCUUGCCAGGACCUUCCGCCACCGCCAACAACAAGCGAGCAGGCGAACAACGGCAGCAUCCAGGGCAGCCAUCAAAAAAGGCUUUCAAUGGUAGACGAGGUCCUGCCACUGCCACCACCCACUUGCCUCGCCACUCCACUCCACUCCAUCACCCCAUCACCCCAUCACCCCAUCACCCUUCCCGCCCCGCCGCCUCCUCGUCGACCUCCGCGAACUCGCCAUCCUGCAAAGUCUACAUCCGAAGUCCUGUUGUCCGUUUUCCCGUUGCCAUGUUGGACGGCAAUGGCGAUAUUUGCUUUCCUUUCCGCCAUGAAACGGAAUGAAAUGCGAGGAGGCGGGAUGGUCAGGGGGUGGCAAAAAGGGGCUGGUAAAGGGGUUGGCCGGACUGGCCUGCGAAAUGUGGGUGGGCCGCGCACAUGGGGUGGAUAUUUCGCCAUUAUUGUAGCAAUUUUGAUCAAUGGCCCUAUAUUCCCGGCAAGCGCUGUCCGCCAACCCGAAAAGGACGAAGCAAAGGACCUACGACCUGCACACACAGCAUCCAAAUUAUUCGAGGCUUCUCGACUUUUUUCCCAGUGCCACAUGUUUCAUGACUGCCCAAGAUGUUGCCGAACUUUCGGCCAAGUGGCUUUGGGCCCGGCUUUUAGCCAGCGAGUGCAUGUAAAUGAGCGGCGAUGCGGACUGUGAGCUAGGCUUGCAUCUGAAUCUGAAUCUGAAGUUGCAACUGUCGAAUGUUCGAUGAUGAUCGCCGAUGACGCUGAUGUCUAUAAUGAUGAUUAUGAUCAUCCACCAUGAGUUGAUGAUGAUGGUGGUGGUGGUGGUGAUGAUGGCGACGUUAUUGUGCCAAGCUGUACCCUUAAAUAUGAUUGCAUAUGAAGGUUGGCAAUUCAUGGGGUUACAUCAAGCCAGAUUCAGACAUAUCUCGCGUCUGUUUCUCUGCGUCUGUGGCUGAAAAUCGGAAAAGCGGGAAAGCCUGCUGUGUACAGUAACACAAAUCGAAGCGGACACUAUAAAUAGCCACCCUCCGCGACGACGAAGGCGAAGACGAAGAAGAAGACGCCGGCUGUGGCGCAUCAAUAUCCAUCCAUCGUUUUGGGUUGAAUCGGAGGAAGGAGCGCACGGAUGCCGCCGAGGAUGUGUAUAUGCCAUGGAUAUGGACGCUGCUACUGGUACCAGAAGUACGGAGUACGGAGCACUGCUCGAUUAUCCGCUGGAGUGUGGGGGGAGGGGGUGGGGGGAGGCUAUUCCCUUGGCUGCCGGACGGUUGGCUAAAUGAAACACAUUCGGAGCGACAUUAAGUAAACAGACUAGCAACCAUGUCAAUGUCAAACGCACUCGCCGACGUCGACGUCGCUGUUACCGCCGCUGCUGCCGCCGCCGCUGCGAAUGCCACUGCCACUGCCGCCGCCUCUGCUAGCGACGCAGUCAACGUCGGGCACAUGUGCGUGGCCAUGUAACGGGAAAAGAGGCCGUGUGGACACCGCUGGCAGGACCCCCAUCCCCGUCCCACGCAGCCCCACCUCCACAUCUUUGUGCGCCACAGUAGGCGCACGUCCAGCAAACAAACUUUUGAGUGCAUUCUUGCAUAAUUUCAUUUUCAUAAAUUUAGCAUUCUUUAUCAAACCAUAUUGACCAAUUAUAUAAAUUUCAUGUUUUGCUUACAAUAAAAUGAAAUAUAUCAACGAAAU
Molecule: non-coding RNA, 2428 nt
Organism: Drosophila melanogaster (fruit fly)
Lineage: Eukaryota; Metazoa; Arthropoda; Insecta; Diptera; Drosophilidae
Source: Ensembl